UACGUAGGCAGCAAGCGUUGUUCGGAGUUACUGGGCGUAAAGGGUGUGUAGGCGGUUGGAUAAGUGUGGUGUGAAAUCUCCCGGCUCAACUGGGAGGGUGCGCUACAAACUGUCUGACUAGAGUGUGGGAUGGGAAAGUGGAAUUCCUGGUGUAGCGGUGAAAUGCGUAGAUAUCAGGAAGAACACCCGUGGCUAAGGCGGCUCUCUAGUACGGUACUGACGCUGAGACGCGAAAGCGUGGGGAGCGAACAGG
RNAcentral lists this ribosomal RNA (253 nucleotides) under uncultured bacterium. Its description in RNAcentral is "partial 16S ribosomal RNA". It matches the Rfam family "Bacterial small subunit ribosomal RNA", at positions 524 to 776 of the family's 1533-position model. The record is from RNAcentral.